RNAcentral lists this ribosomal RNA (89 nucleotides) under Allofrancisella inopinata. Lineage: Bacteria; Pseudomonadati; Pseudomonadota; Gammaproteobacteria; Thiotrichales; Francisellaceae. The record is from RNAcentral.
CCUGAUCCCUUUCCGAACUCAGAAGUGAAACUACAACACGCCGAUGAUAGUCUGGCUCUUGCCCAGGUGAAAGUAGGUAGUCGCCAUCU